Molecule: unclassified non-coding RNA, 342 nt
Filed under: soil metagenome
Description: partial contains 5.8S ribosomal RNA, internal transcribed spacer 2, and large subunit ribosomal RNA
Rfam family: 5.8S ribosomal RNA (bases 1-121)
Source: RNAcentral
GAUGAAGAACGUAGCGAAAUGCGAUAAGUAGUGUGAAUUGCAGAAUUCAGCGAAUCAUCGAAUCUUUGAACGCACAUUGCGCCCUUCGGUUAUUCCUUAGGGCAUGCCUGUUCGAGCGUCAUUUCAACCUUCAAGCCUGGCUUGGUGUUGGGCGCUGUCCCGCUUCCGCGCGCGGACUCGCCCCAAAUGAAUUGGCAGUCGCACCCUCCGAGCCGCGAGCGCAGCACAAGUCGCGCGGGCGGAACUCUGGGGGGACGGACGCUCCACAAGACCCUUUCUCAGUCUUGACCUCGGAUCAGGUAGGGAUACCCGCUGAACUUAAGCAUAUCAAUAAGCGGAGGA